RNAcentral lists this long non-coding RNA (225 nucleotides) under Linum usitatissimum (flax). Its description in RNAcentral is "long non-coding RNA (LUSI_LNC000309)". The record is from RNAcentral. Lineage: Eukaryota; Viridiplantae; Streptophyta; Magnoliopsida; Malpighiales; Linaceae.
GGUGACAUUUUCAUACACUUUUGGUUAAUAUUUUUUUUCUUUCUUAUGACACCUCACAUUUGAACUUCUGCAUUCAGCGAGGACAUUCUCACUCCGCCUCCUGAAACCUCGCCUUCACAUCCACAACCAGAGACUGACCAUUUUCCAGACCAUCUAAGCAGUGACUCUUAACAUCUCUUACGGCUUACCUCUUUUUCACAAAAAUGAGCUUUGUCGAUGUGACUC